CAAUAGCGUAUAUUAACGUUGUUGCAGUUAAAAAGCUCGUAGUUGGAUUUCUGGAGGGAGCGUCGGCCCGUAUUUACGAGUGCGUGACGUCUCUGUCCAUCCUUGCGGGAAGGCACGGCAUUGAUUUGUUGUGUCGGAUCGCAUCAUUUACUGUGAAAAAAUUAGAGUGUUCAAAGCAGGCUUUCGCUUGAAUACAUUAGCAUGGAAUAAUAAGAUAGGACUUUGGUGCUGUUUUGUUGGUUGAGCCUAAAGUAAUGAUUAAUAGGGAUAGUUGGGGGCACCUGUAUUGCGUUGUCAGAGGUGAAAUUCUUGGAUUUACGCAAGACAAACAGCUGCGAAAGCGUCUACCAAGGAUGUUUUCAUUA
This 365-nucleotide ribosomal RNA is filed under the name uncultured eukaryote. Its description in RNAcentral is "partial 18S ribosomal RNA". It matches the Rfam family "Eukaryotic small subunit ribosomal RNA", at positions 592 to 975 of the family's 1831-position model. The record is from RNAcentral.